This is a small nuclear RNA of Cavia aperea (Brazilian guinea pig), 96 nucleotides long. The record is from Ensembl. NCBI's taxonomy places the organism in Eukaryota, Metazoa, Chordata, Mammalia, Rodentia, Caviidae.
GUCCUCACUUCGCAGCACGUAUACUAAAGUUGGAAUGAUACAGACAAUAUUAACAUGGCUCCUGUGCAAGGAUGGCUCACAAAUUUCCAUAUUGUU